Molecule: small RNA, 2954 nt
Filed under: Pan troglodytes (chimpanzee)
Lineage: Eukaryota; Metazoa; Chordata; Mammalia; Primates; Hominidae
Description: retained intron
Source: RNAcentral
GUAUUGGGAAGGCAGAUAAAAUGCCAGGUCUGGACUGCCUCUGGGCAUAACCUCACCCUGUGGGAUGUGAAUGAAUAGCAUCUUGCCUGGUAAAUCCACAGGAAUUGAUAAGGCAGGCGCAGUUCUCCCAAACAGGCCUUUUCUCUUUAAGCUGUAGCUGUGGUUUCUGCAGCAAUUUUGUUUUUGCCUUGAAAGAGGUGCUCUGGAUUAUCAGACCUCCAUGUAUGACAAUUUGUACCUGCAUGGAAUUGAAGACUCGGAGGCUGGUUCAGCGGAUUCCUACACAAGCAGGCCGUCUGACUCCGAUGUCUCUUUGGAAGAGGACCGGGAAGCAAUUCGACAGGAGAGAGAACAGCAAGCAGCUAUCCAGCUUGAGAGAGCAAAGUCCAAACCUGUAGCAUUUGCCGUGAAGACAAAUGUGAGCUACUGCGGCGCCCUGGAUGAGGAUGUGCCUGUUCCAAGCACAGCUAUCUCCUUUGAUGCUAAAGACUUUCUACAUAUUAAAGAGAAAUAUAACAAUGAUUGGUGGAUAGGAAGGCUGGUGAAAGAGGGCUGUGAAAUUGGCUUCAUUCCAAGUCCACUCAGAUUGGAGAACAUACGGAUUCAGCAAGAACAAAAAAGAGGACGUUUUCACGGAGGGAAAUCAAGUGGAAAUUCUUCUUCAAGUCUUGGAGAAAUGGUAUCUGGGACAUUUCGAGCAACUCCCACGUCAACAGCAAAACAGAAGCAAAAAGUGACGGAGCACAUUCCUCCUUACGAUGUUGUGCCGUCAAUGCGUCCGGUGGUGUUAGUGGGGCCGUCACUGAAAGGUUACGAGGUACAAAUAUCAUCUGUUACUCUUCAGUUCUUGAUCGAGCACCCAGGAGACAGUCAUGUUGACGCUUGCUCCUCAAGGGUCUGUUUCCACGUGGGUCCUGAUGGAAGCCAGUGCUCAGCACGGGAAGGCAGGGGGUACCGUGUGGGGCUCAUGAGGCCCUCUGCCCUUUCUUUCCUCUGUUGCACACUUCUCAUCUUUUAUGUAUUACAUUGUUUAGAAAUACCUCCCUCAAAAUAUUUACAAUGGGAAGAUCUGGUCAAAGAUUUGCUGUACAUUAAAUGCAAAGAAAAGGACUUUAUCUAUCUUGACCAUUCUCAUUAUUAUUAGAAGUAAUAGAGAAUGAACAGCACAAGAGGACAAACAAUCAAUCUUCCAGCAAACCCAAACCUUUAAAGCCCAAACAGAGUUCACCCUGCUGGGUUUUUAAGAUGAUGGCAUAUGCCACCAAAUCCUUCUCUGCUUAUUUAUUUUAAAGGGCACAUGUUUUAAAAGACCACUAAAAACAUUAGUGAACUUUGGAGAUUAAACAAAACCAUGUGACAAGGAAAAGAGUAGAGACUUCGUUUCAGAUGUUUGUUUUGACUUUGUGCUAGCUUGGAUUAAAAAAUAGGUAGACGUGACAUUAAACUCUGAAGGUGAGCAGCCUCCAGGGCACCAUUCCCAUCGAGCUAGGACAAUGUGUGGCACAUAGUAGGCACUCAGUACACAUUUGCUGAAUGAAUUAAUGAAUCGCUUUCAGGCAGAUCUAAGAAUCCUGGCUCUAUCCGCCUCUCUUUCUCUCUUGUCUUUCUCAGAGUUGGGAAUGUCAGAGGGAUGAGCAGGAGAGUGGUCUACAAAAAUCCAGCCAUGGGCAUGGAGAAUUUCUGCCAACAUACACAAACUAGCAGGAAGGCUGAGUCCAGUGCUGGCCUCAGUUCUCUAGCUGCUCCUCACUGGAGGCAGGCACAACUCAGGCGUGCCAAGGAUACCCGGCACCUGUGUACAAAGCCAGCCUGUUGUCUCCUGGCAGCAGUUCUAUCCCCUAACGAGGGAAGAGGGAAGAGGGAAGAGGGUCUGGUGAACACUGCUGGUUUAUUCCUCAACACCCUGGAGGAGAACCAAGGGGGGUGGAAAUUAGCAAUUGCACAUGGUUAAGCAUGAAAAACACCUUCCAUGGUAACCUCCCCCUAGGAGACGAAUGGCUACAAUAAGGUCUUGGCUCAUAGUGCCCUUCCCUCCCUCCUCUCUCCCUUUUGACUUCUCUCUCUCUCUCUCUGUGUGUUUGCCUCAUUCUUUUUUUCUCACCUCUGCAAAGGUAACAGACAUGAUGCAGAAAGCCCUCUUUGAUUUCCUGAAGCACAGGUUUGAUGGGAGGAUAUCAAUAACGAGAGUGACAGCUGACAUUUCUCUUGCUAAGAGGUCUGUCCUAAAUAAUCCCAGCAAGAGAGCAAUAAUUGAACGUUCGAACACCCGGUCCAGCUUAGCGGAAGUACAAAGUGAAAUUGAAAGAAUCUUUGAGUUGGCAAGAUCUUUGCAACUGGUCGUUCUUGAUGCAGACACCAUCAAUCACCCAGCACAACUUAUAAAGACUUCCUUAGCACCAAUUAUUGUUCAUGUAAAAGUCUCAUCUCCAAAGGAAAUGUUUGAUGUUAUAUUGGAUGAAAAUCAGCUUGAGGAUGCGUGUGAACAUCUAGGGGAGUACCUGGAGGCGUACUGGCGUGCCACCCACACAACCAGUAGCACACCCAUGACCCCGCUGCUGGGAAGGAAUUUGGGCUCCACGGCACUCUCACCAUAUCCCACAGCAAUUUCUGGGUUACAGAGUCAGCGAAUGAGGCACAGCAACCACUCCACAGAGAACUCUCCAAUUGAAAGACGAAGUCUAAUGACCUCUGAUGAAAAUUAUCACAAUGAAAGGGCUCGGAAGAGUAGGAACCGCUUGUCUUCCAGUUCUCAGCAUAGCCGAGAUCAUUACCCUCUUGUGGAAGAAGAUUACCCUGACUCAUACCAGGACACUUACAAACCCCAUAGGAACCGAGGAUCACCUGGGGGAUAUAGCCAUGACUCCCGACAUAGGCUUUGAGUCUAAUGAAACAAAAAAUAUUCAUCUGUUGACAAUUUGCCAUAGCAGUGCUAGGAUAAACCAAUCAUCUUAACU